GCGCCCUUAGCUCAGCUGGAUAGAGCACCGGCCUUCUAAGCCGGGGGUCACACGUUCAAGUCGUGUAGGGCGCACCA
RNAcentral lists this transfer RNA (77 nucleotides) under Myxococcaceae bacterium. RNAcentral's name for it is "tRNA-Arg". It matches the Rfam family "tRNA". From Rfam's summary of the family: Transfer RNA (tRNA) molecules are approximately 80 nucleotides in length. Their secondary structure includes four short double-helical elements and three loops (D, anti-codon, and T loops). Further hydrogen bonds mediate the characteristic L-shaped molecular structure. tRNAs have two regions of fundamental functional importance: the anti-codon, which is responsible for specific mRNA codon recognition, and the 3' end, to which the tRNAs corresponding amino acid is attached (by aminoacyl-tRNA synthetases). tRNAs cope with the degeneracy of the genetic code in two manners: having more than one tRNA (with a specific anti-codon) for a particular amino acid; and 'wobble' base-pairing, i.e. permitting non-standard base-pairing at the 3rd anti-codon position. The record is from RNAcentral. Lineage: Bacteria; Pseudomonadati; Myxococcota; Myxococcia; Myxococcales; Myxococcaceae.